This 253-nucleotide ribosomal RNA is filed under the name uncultured bacterium. RNAcentral's name for it is "partial 16S ribosomal RNA". It matches the Rfam family "Bacterial small subunit ribosomal RNA", at positions 524 to 776 of the family's 1533-position model. The record is from RNAcentral.
UACGAGGGGGGCAAGCGUUGUUCGGAAUCAUUGGGCGUAAAGCGCGCGUAGGUGGCUUCGUAAGUCCGUUGUGAAAGUCAGAGGCUCAACCUUUGAAUGCCGAUGGAUACUGCGGAGCUAGAGUACGGAAGAGGCGAGUGGAAUUCCUGGUGUAGCGGUGGAAUGCGCAGAUAUCAGGAGGAACACCAAUAGCGAAGGCAGCUCGCUGGGACGUUACUGACACUAAGGCGCGAAAGCGUGGGGAGCGAACAGG